AAAAAAAACCAACAUGCGAAAGGCCCCAGAGCUCUGUGAGCGUUCAGCUGAGCAGUCGCGGUGCCAAACCACAGGUGUGCUGGCACGUGGCGAACAAGCAACAGCAUGAAAUGUACCACGAGAUGUGCCUCAUCCUGAAGGAAGACUUGCUCCACUUCGACUUUCAUUAUGAAAGCAGCUUUGCUGCAGUCCCGUGGUGCCAGUGUGGGGUAAGUUCUCAGCAGAGCAUGCUGGAAAGACGGACUGCAGCCCUCAUAUGGACGGAGAAACACGCUGCAGCCCUCUGAGCUCAAGGAGUUGAACCAGCCAAAGCACGGUGGUGGGUCCUUUGAUGUCCAAAGGGCCGAGACAAAGUGGUGCUGCAGCCUCUGUGCUCUCAUUACCGAGCAGCAGGAGAGCAUCCAUGUCGCUGCUUUUCUCACCCUGCAGCAAUUUUGCUUCGUGAAUCCUGUGUUUUCAGACAGUGAUCUACUUGCAGCCUCCGGCAUCCAUCCCUGGAAGUGGCUUAGAGUGCAUUUUACGUUGGGAAAAAAAUUGAUUUGUGCUUCUCUGGCUAAAGAAUCGGCUUCUCUUUAAACAGCUCGAGCUGUGGGAACGCUGCCACGGUGCUCUGGCGGGUGACACAGAAAACUGCUGCAAUGCUACUGCUGUCCUUGCCCAGAAUGCCCGGUAAUCAGCUUGAUGAAGGCUCUAAUUUCCUCAUUUGCAAGUCUACAUUGCUUCACUUUGGCACUGACUUUCUACUGUGGUGUUUGUGCAACUCUUUCCAGAACCCUGAAAGCGCAGUUGCCUUCGACAGCUGCUUCACCCGUGGACCCGGUGAAACUCUCGGGUUGGGCAAUGGCAGGCAGCCGCCUUCCCAAUCGGCACGUUGGAUUGAGUGGGACUAUUUUGGUGCCUCCCUUCCCGGGUGCCACCCGCUCCCAGGUGCCGCACUAGGGAGGUGGUGCCAGUUGCAGCCAUCCUGCAUCCCAAAAUGCCUGGCGGAGCCCUGGGGCACGUGAGAUGUUGACUCUGCUCCAGACUUCACCGUGUCCUGCCUAGCAAAAGGGCUUCUGCGAUGUCCAAGCUCUCCUCAUUAACACAGCCCUGAGAGGAAAAGGAGACGGUGGGGAGCUGCCAAACGCCGGCAGGUCUCUCCAGAGCGCAGGAAGGAGAGGAGGGAAGCUGCCGGGCCACUGGCACCCAGCCUGGAGCACGGGCCGUUGGCGGGCAGGAAUGCAGAUGAGAUGUAAUGGAGUUUGAAAGCACAGGGCACUCUCUGGGAUGCGGGUCCUGUGGGGGAGGGAAAGGCACCCUGUGAAGUCUGGAAACUGGAGCAAACACACUCCGUAGCCCUGCACGUUCCUGCCUCCUUCUGACAAAAUAAAAGAGGCUGCAGGGGAUUCUGCCCUUCAGGUUGCUCAGCUUGAGGAGCUCAGCAAGGAGCCUGAUCCAGUGUCCGUGUCCUGCUUUGCUGCUCCACGGAGGUGAUGGAGCCAGUGCUGCUCGGUGAACCUGAGACUGGGCACACCAGCCCUCAGCAGGCGAAACGUUUCCUACCCAGACAUACCAAAGAUGGCACCGGUUCCCCAAGGUCCCUCCGAAAAGAGCAAACGCAGCGUCGCUGCCGUCCUUUUGAGCAGGGAUGAAUCAGCAGAGGGUGAGUAGCAGAAAGGGGCUGGUGCUGCUGUAGCCUCUCUGCAGGCACAAGCUACGGGAACACAUUCAUCACGUCCUGAGAAUGCACCCCGGAUUUUCUUCUGCUUCCAUUGUUAUUACAGGCUCGUUGGGUUUGAAACAUAGAAAUCAACUGUAUCCAACCAAGCCAGUGUCACGUAGUUGGCAGUUCCUGGCUGCCGGUGGGGGCUACAAGAGGUUUUCCUGGUUUUCGUAGGUGUGAGACCAGCAGAACUGAUGGAGGGUAUGGAAAGCAGUUAGGGUUCACUUUUACUCUGUGUGUUAUUCCCCUUCUUGGCAAAGCCGUAGAACCUGGCAUGCUUACCGCUCAGGUGCUGCCAAAGGUCUUGUCUGAAAUCGUGUCUCAGCAGAGGUGUGACUGGUGCUACCAGUAGAAAAGUGCCACCUAGACUGGAGUGUUCCAGCUGACUUGGACCAGAUAGGAGGUGGCAGGUAGCACAGUUGUCGCUUGCUCUCUGAGGCUGUUUGGAGAUGCUAAUCUCUUUUAUUCAGAGAAGGACCAUGCUUUAAGUGAUGCUGCGCUCCACAUCACGGAGGGCUUCAUUGACUUCAUCAGUCCAUCUCAUCAAGGCUGGAGAAAGAGGAAAACCAUUGGGCCUCCUCCGCAGCUGGUGUUUCCAAGGUGCUCCCAGGAGAGUUGGAUGAAAACUUCACCCAAUGGCCUCCGAAAUGCCAGGGCUGGGUGACGGGGUUGCCGUGAUUGUAUCAUGAGUCUUGCAUUGGCCGCGUGUUUUUCUUGGAGUCAGUUCCUGGAAUCACACAAUUAGGUAGGAACGUGUUCUCUAAUUUUCAAGGAAGAAAGUCCAUUUCGUACUCCCUGUCCCCAAACCUUCACAACUAAAGGGAAGUGAGAAGGUCCUGGGUCAGCUUACCUGGCCGUUUUGAGCUGUUAGUGUUUUGCAGCCAGAUUCAUGGUUUUAAAAAUGGACAGUAGAAGCCUUUCUCCAAUUUCUGCAGCACCCUCGGUAGUCCUUUCCAACACUUCAAGGGCUGAGUAAAUAAAAUCCCAACCGCUCUUUCCCCUCUUUGCUGUGAUCAGAGUAGCUCUUUGUGAAAAUGACCCAUUUUGGGUGCACAAAGCAAGUUCUGCAGGGCUUAAAUGGUUUUGCUGAGAUCAUAGCAGCCUUUGAGGCUCUCAGGCUAUUGGUGUUGCCCACACCUCACGGACUUCAAGGAGAUUCCUGCUGACUGUUAGUUUGUGAAAGCAGAGUUGAGAGCUGAUGAGCUUUAAUGAACCAAAGCCACGCUCAGUGUGGAAAGCUCUGUGGUGGUCUUUAGCCCGUGGGCUUGCUAUGAGGGAGUGGAGCACACCUCUUCCCAAAGUGAAUGGCGAUGGACUGGGUACUGAAGGCUUUCCUGAGCAGCACAGCUGAAAAUCAAGUCUGUUCCUAAACAUGGCUGGGCUGUGGGACUGGUCGGGAGCUCAGCACCCUGGGGCACCCAGCACCCAUCUGCUGUGCUUCGCAGCCCACAGGCUCCGCUAGCAGCAAGGGGGGCAAACAAAGGGGGACAACAGGCAGGCAGUGCUGAGAGGGCAUUUCCUAAACUUCCCCAGACUUGUGCUGCUGAUGGAUUUUUUUUUUUAUUAGUAUUAUUUUUAAUCCACCUAAGUCUCAAAUCCAUCUUAAAAUGGGUUAUUCCAAAAUCUCUGCUUCUUCCCUUCCUUGUUUCAGGGCAUCCUGCGAUGAAAAUCUGGCUUUUCCUAGUUGGAGGCAGAAAAAAAGCCUCAUCUCUUGCUUUGCAGCAGAGUUAAAAGUCAAAAAGGUGAUUUGGAUAAGUCUGUGCCUGGAAAGGUCUCCAGCCUGCCAGUGCAGGAGGCUGUUCCCUGGAGAACCACAGGGCUGGGACGUGCUAAGCUGGUCAUCGGCAGCACCUCCGGCCCUGGCUGUUCCCUGGGUGCGGAAGCAGGAGCAUCCCCACCCCGGGGCUCCAGUGGGUGAGCAAUGGCGUGGCUCACCUCAAAAAGAGCCGGAGCCCCGGGUGCGGGCUCUUACCCAUCUGCCUUCAGGUUAGGUGCUGCUUUUGCAUCUAAAAAAGGAUCCAAGGAAUUUGGGCUCCCUGGAAGGGAGGGGUGAGCUGGAUGGGGAGGAUGCCAGCAAUUACACUGGUGCUGAGCACCUCUCCUUCAUUGUGAUAACCCAAUCAAGCUGGCUUUAGCCCAGGGUAGAAUAACGGUGACUGCGAGCCUAAGCACAGGGAUUUUUGUCUUUUAAUCGCCAGCUGGGCAAAGGCGAGCGGUGGCUGGAUCUCUGUUGCCCACCUUUUGGAGCAGCCCUGCACGGGCCAGGCUGCACCUCUCUCCUUCCUCCUUGGACAGCAAGGAGUGAUAAUCCCUUGCGCAUUUAAUUACAGCCGGUAGGGUUGGAGCAAACCACCUUCUGCCCCGUUUGCAUCAGCCUGGGCUCAUGAUGGAUGCAUCCCACCAGGGUUGUGUCCGAGGGGCUCUGUCCCCCGCAGCCAAGCCACGCUGGGGAGCCCUGUGGCUCUCCGCGAGCAGUGCCGGUGUGGAGGCCCCUGCCUUCUCCCGCCAUGGGUGGCUGGGCUCUGGCAGGCUCGUUUUUCUGGCAUGGCGAGUCCGCCUCAAACACCUAGGUGGGGCCCAGCAGGGCCAAUGGCCUUCCUGGGGACAGAGCCAACAUGCAGCCUCAGAGCCACGGGCACCCCAGUGCCACGGCCCCCUGGCCCUCUGGGGAUGGGGAGGGAGCAAAGGGAUGGAUUUUGGGGUUGUAUCCACCCUGGCCAUGCCCUGGAGCGAUGGGCAACGGGCACCAGUGACGUGGGUGUGUGCGUGAGCCAUGGCACGCGGGGCUGGUGGGACGAAGCGCUGAGCUUUGGGGUGGAGGAGAGCUGCCUUCGCCUUUCCUUGCUUUAUCAAAAUGGUGUCAUUUUAUGCCCUGCGUUCCCUUGCAGAAGGGCAAA
This is a long non-coding RNA of Cuculus canorus (common cuckoo), 4599 nucleotides long. RefSeq lists it as uncharacterized. Lineage: Eukaryota; Metazoa; Chordata; Aves; Cuculiformes; Cuculidae. The transcript is spliced from 4 exons. The record is from RefSeq and is a predicted model, not a curated record.